AAGACUACGGCCAACGGCAGC
RNAcentral lists this unclassified non-coding RNA (21 nucleotides) under Chlamydomonas reinhardtii. Its description in RNAcentral is "small RNA Cre_0095". The record is from RNAcentral. Lineage: Eukaryota; Viridiplantae; Chlorophyta; Chlorophyceae; Chlamydomonadales; Chlamydomonadaceae.